RNAcentral lists this long non-coding RNA (638 nucleotides) under Ananas comosus (pineapple). RNAcentral describes it as "long non-coding RNA (ACOM_LNC019310)". Lineage: Eukaryota; Viridiplantae; Streptophyta; Magnoliopsida; Poales; Bromeliaceae. The record is from RNAcentral.
AGUUCACUUUUAAAUGGAAUUAUUAGGUUAGAUUAUAUUUCACAGAGAUAUUGUUGGAUAUAGAAGUGGUCUCUAUUUUCUGAGAAGCCUGUCGGCAUUUUCAGCGAUCAAUUAUUACUGCAAUGCUGGAGGUACGUCCCAAAGUGCUUGAAAUUUUUUAAACGAAACACUUCAAAUUCCACUUCUAUAGUUUCACAUUUUCUCACUUUAAUACUCUGUGGUUUAAAAUGUAUCAAUUUAGUGCCUUGUGAUUUUAUUUUUAUCUUUUUAUCAUCGAUUUCACUAAUUUUUUUCGUUAAAUCAAUGAUAAAGUUAAAACUAAAAGGUAUUAAAAUGAAUAUUCGAUAAAUCUAGGUAGUUUAUCUGAAGUUUUUUUGUAUAUAAAUUUAACGAAAUAUUAACGGAAAAGCUAACGAAAAGAUAAAAAUGAAACCACAGGACACUAACUUGAUACACUUUAAGUCACAGGGUAUUAAAGUGAGAAAAUGUGAAAUCACAAAGAUGGUAUUUGAAAUUUGUCCUUUUUAAAAAAAAUUUAAAAUAUGACAGAUAUAUUAAUGAUGUGGUAUUUUCAACCAAUCAUAUUUGACUUGUAAGAUUUAUCCAUCCCACUGUAGUUUUUUUAAAAAAAUUAUUUU